CCAGCUCUUCAGAGCUCCAUCCCGAGCAGCUGAGAACAAGCUUUCUUCCUGUGGACAAUUUCCAAUGAAAGCUUAAAAAAAAAAGAACGAAGAAGCUCCAAAGCAGAUGAUUUUCCAGCAGAUAGUUUCCCAGCAGCCUUGCUGGUGAAACAGCACUGAAGUCCAUAGCCCAGGAAGCUCUGGCAGGGCUGCACACCAGCAGAGACAGGGAGGUAGGAGCGCCAAGGCGAAGGAGCAUAUGGCAACAAGGCAGCUCUGCUCGGGCAUGGCUGGCGUAGAGCAACCUCRGGUUGCUUUUCUUCUCGUAGAAAACAAAUGUGGUGGGAUUAUAAUUUUUUCUUCCCCCGGUAGAGAUGGGCUUUUCAAUCUGUGGGACUUUGCU
This is a long non-coding RNA of Nothoprocta perdicaria, 382 nucleotides long. RefSeq lists it as uncharacterized. The record is from RefSeq and is a predicted model, not a curated record. NCBI's taxonomy places the organism in Eukaryota, Metazoa, Chordata, Aves, Tinamiformes, Tinamidae. The transcript is spliced from 3 exons.